GUUUCUCCAGUGAGGGGAAGGAUGAGAAGCUUCGACCAAGGUUCGAUUCGAGCGUAGCGAGAAAGCGUUGCCGCAGGCAACGACCCGAAGGGCGAGGCGCAACGCGCCGAGUAAUCCUUCCCCCACCACCA
This 131-nucleotide small RNA is filed under the name Cronobacter sakazakii. Its description in RNAcentral is "RtT sRNA". It matches the Rfam family "RtT RNA". From Rfam's summary of the family: This family represents a bacterial cis-regulatory element known as RtT RNA. The record is from RNAcentral. Lineage: Bacteria; Pseudomonadati; Pseudomonadota; Gammaproteobacteria; Enterobacterales; Enterobacteriaceae.